RNAcentral lists this ribosomal RNA (492 nucleotides) under uncultured bacterium. Its description in RNAcentral is "partial 16S ribosomal RNA". It matches the Rfam family "Bacterial small subunit ribosomal RNA", at positions 29 to 507 of the family's 1533-position model. The record is from RNAcentral.
AGUGAACGCUGGCGGUAGGCCUAACACAUGCAAGUCGAACGGCAGCACAGUAAGAGCUUGCUCUUACGGGUGGCGAGUGGCGGACGGGUGAGGAAUACAUCGGAAUCUACUUUUUCGUGGGGGAUAACGUAGGGAAACUUACGCUAAUACCGCAUACGACCUACGGGUGAAAGCAGGGGAUCUUCGGACCUUGCGCGAUUGAAUGAGCCGAUGUCGGAUUAGCUAGUUGGCGGGGUAAAGGCCCACCAAGGCGCCGAUCCGUAGCUGGUCUGAGAGGAUGAUCAGCCACACUGGAACUUAGACACGGUCCAGACUCCUACGGGAGGCAGCAGUGGGGAAUAUUGGACAAUGGGCGCAAGCCUGAUCCAGCCAUACCGCGUGGGUGAAGAAGGCCUUCGGGUUGUAAAGCCCUUUUGUUGGGAAAGAAAAGCAGCAGGUUAAUACCCCGCUGUUCUGACGGUACCCAAAGAAUAAGCACCGGCUAACUUCGUG